RNAcentral lists this unclassified non-coding RNA (307 nucleotides) under Hevea brasiliensis (rubber tree). Lineage: Eukaryota; Viridiplantae; Streptophyta; Magnoliopsida; Malpighiales; Euphorbiaceae. The record is from RNAcentral.
UGUCUUGAAAACUUGGAUGAGUAUUUAGGAGAUUAUGGUGUGGACAUGUCAUGGGGGGAGCAGUGUUAUAUUGAUGGUUGGUACGUUUCUGCUUCUGCCAAGCAAGGGCAUUAUUUAUUCUGAAGAUGCUGUGUCUAAAUUUGGAAAAGAGAGAAAGCAAUAGCUGUAAUGUUUUUAUGGCACUAUGCGGAUAAUUAAAUCUAAUUGCACAUCUGGUAUGCUGACAGUCAAGUCCCUGUCUUGAAGUGCAUGUAUCUAAGAUUGAAGUUCCCCUGAAUGAUCCUUUGCUUUGAACUGAAAAGAAGGG